RNAcentral lists this ribosomal RNA (459 nucleotides) under uncultured bacterium. RNAcentral's name for it is "bacterial SSU rRNA". It matches the Rfam family "Bacterial small subunit ribosomal RNA", at positions 29 to 468 of the family's 1533-position model. The record is from RNAcentral.
AACGAACGCUGGCGGCGUGGCUAAGACAUGCAAGUCGAACGGAUUAGCUAAUUGAGUAAUCGAGAAGCUAAUUAGUGGCGAAAGGUGAGUAACGGAUAGGUAACGUACCCCGCGUUUCGGGAUAGCGUCGUUCACCUUCGGGUGAGCUACCGAAAGGGGCGGUAAUACCGAAUAACAUCACUUGUCGAUAGGCAGGUGGUCAAAGAUUUAUCGACGCACGAGCGGCCUAUCUCCUAUCAGCUUGUUGGUGAGGUAAUGGCUCACCAAGGCUCCGACGGGUAGCGGGACUGAGAGGUUGGCCCGCCACAUCGGGACUGAGACACUGCCCGGACCUCCACGGAGGGCUGCAGUAACGAAUAUUGGGCAAUGGGCGAAAGCCUGACCCAGCGACGCCGCGUGCGGGAGGAAGUCUUUCGGGAUGUAAACCGCUGUCAGGGGUAAGAAAGUACGGUUCGCCGU